This 1353-nucleotide long non-coding RNA is filed under the name Nicotiana benthamiana. RNAcentral's name for it is "long non-coding RNA (NBEN_LNC002728)". Lineage: Eukaryota; Viridiplantae; Streptophyta; Magnoliopsida; Solanales; Solanaceae. The record is from RNAcentral.
UCUGAGUUGUGUUGCACAUGACUAAUUGAUCUUUGCCUUUUGGCUCUGAAAUUUUGCAUGAUUUGUUUUGCUUAUUGAUUUCUUAUGGAUAUUGAUCCUUGUCUCCUGUUUUUCAUUUAUUUCACCUUAAGAUUCUGAUUAGUUUUGGACCUUGCUUGUACUCCAUAGUUGUUUUUCAUUUCAUAAGUAACUCAUCUUCAGUAUUUGCAUGUAUUGGGCUAAUAUAUUUUUGUUGAACCUUUAAUUGUUGAUAUCAGCCUUUAGAUUCCUGAUUUUAAUCGUAAACUGAGUUUUCAAUUCCUGUUAUUUAUUUCUCUAUCUCAAGUUUUACUGUAUACCUUAAUUGGGUUAUCUCUGCAAGUUAAGCAUCAAUGGAUGGUUUUCCUUUUCUGGUCCCUUCAAUCCAUUGGUUUUGAACUAUUUUUGUUGCUGAAAAAUCCACAUUAGGAUACUUAUUCAAAAAUUGAAUGGUAUUGGCUAAUUAAUUAAACCUUUCAAUAAGCUUGUUAGUCCUGACCAAAUUUUGCCCAACACUUAAACACAAUUGACCUGGGUCAGUUUUGACCAAACCAAAUGACAGAACAAGGUUAAAACUGCAGGUUAGUUAAUUAGGAAAAGAAAUAGGGGUAUAAGGGGUAUUUGAGCCUUAAAAGAAUCUGAUAACAACCCCUAGAACAUUCUAGUGAGGGACUUAGGCAUAAUUUCAGCCUCAAACUUGGGGGACAAGUCAGGAAACUAAGGACCAUUUAGGAAAAAACUGAAAUCUAAAUCAAUGACUAAAAGGAAAAACAAGGAAAAAGUGAUAAAAAGGGCAAUCUGAGUAUUUUUGGGGGAUCCUUUUUAACAAUGGGAGAUUUUUCUGAAAGAUUGGGAAUAUAUUUCGAACAGAUCUUUCUUUGAAGUUAGAGUGAUUUGAGAUAUAUAAGUACAUAUUAAUUUCCUCUAUAUUUUGAAAAGUCCUUAGUGCUGCUCUCAUCACUGUGGAAUUUUGGUCUCUUCAAAGCCUUUCCUAAAAUCUGGGUGUUUACUGUUCGAUUGGCUGCUGCUUGUUUGCUGACUAACUUCAUUUACUCAUAGGUUUUGUUUCCUUGCUGAAUUCCAGGUAUAUUCUGAUGUCCAUUGAUGUAUGGAACUUGGUUUGAAUAUAUUUCCAAUUUCGAAGAUCUGUAUUUAUCAUUUCCUUUUGAACCCUCGCCCUUUUUCCUUCUCUUUUAGCUUUAGUAUACUCCAUGAUAGAGAUAAUUAUCCUGUAAUAAUCAGAUAUUUGGACUAAUUCGUCUUGUAAUAACUGAACAUUCGGACUGAUUUAUCUUGUAAUAAGUGGACAUUUGGAUUGAUACUUUUUAUAUGCAC